RNAcentral lists this ribosomal RNA (1042 nucleotides) under Escherichia coli. RNAcentral's name for it is "partial 23S ribosomal RNA". It matches the Rfam family "Bacterial large subunit ribosomal RNA", at positions 705 to 1746 of the family's 2925-position model. Lineage: Bacteria; Pseudomonadati; Pseudomonadota; Gammaproteobacteria; Enterobacterales; Enterobacteriaceae. The record is from RNAcentral.
GGGUAUAGACCCGAAACCCGGUGAUCUAGCCAUGGGCAGGUUGAAGGUUGGGUAACACUAACUGGAGGACCGAACCGACUAAUGUUGAAAAAUUAGCGGAUGACUUGUGGCUGGGGGUGAAAGGCCAAUCAAACCGGGAGAUAGCUGGUUCUCCCCGAAAGCUAUUUAGGUAGCGCCUCGUGAAUUCAUCUCCGGGGGUAGAGCACUGUUUCGGCAAGGGGGUCAUCCCGACUUACCAACCCGAUGCAAACUGCGAAUACCGGAGAAUGUUAUCACGGGAGACACACGGCGGGUGCUAACGUCCGUCGUGAAGAGGGAAACAACCCAGACCGCCAGCUAAGGUCCCAAAGUCAUGGUUAAGUGGGAAACGAUGUGGGAAGGCCCAGACAGCCAGGAUGUUGGCUUAGAAGCAGCCAUCAUUUAAAGAAAGCGUAAUAGCUCACUGGUCGAGUCGGCCUGCGCGGAAGAUGUAACGGGGCUAAACCAUGCACCGAAGCUGCGGCAGCGACGCUGAUGCGUUGUUGGGUAGGGGAGCGUUCUGUAAGCCUGUGAAGGUGUGCUGUGAGGCAUGCUGGAGGUAUCAGAAGUGCGAAUGCUGACAUAAGUAACGAUAAAGCGGGUGAAAAGCCCGCUCGCCGGAAGACCAAGGGUUCCUGUCCAACGUUAAUCGGGGCAGGGUGAGUCGACCCCUAAGGCGAGGCCGAAAGGCGUAGUCGAUGGGAAACAGGUUAAUAUUCCUGUACUUGGUGUUACUGCGAAGGGGGGACGGAGAAGGCUAUGUUGGCCGGGCGACGGUUGUCCCGGUUUAAGCGUGUAGGCUGGUUUUCCAGGCAAAUCCGGAAAAUCAAGGCUGAGGCGUGAUGACGAGGCACUACGGUGCUGAAGCAACAAAUGCCCUGCUUCCAGGAAAAGCCUCUAAGCAUCAGGUAACAUCAAAUCGUACCCCAAACCGACACAGGUGGUCAGGUAGAGAAUACCAAGGCGCUUGAGAGAACUCGGGUGAAGGAACUAGGCAAAAUGGUGCCGUAACUUCGGGAGAAGG